This is a long non-coding RNA of Anolis carolinensis (green anole), 297 nucleotides long. It matches the Rfam family "WT1 antisense RNA conserved region 7". The record is from Rfam. Lineage: Eukaryota; Metazoa; Chordata; Lepidosauria; Squamata; Anolidae.
AGACGCACCAGCUAAGCCUCUCCUGCGGCCCAUUUCUCCCGGCGGCUUUGUUUGGUGGAAACCGUUCUUUCCCCGUAAAUCUUGGGCAAGCCCUGGAACUCAUUACGGAGAGGAUAUGUCUCAAUUUGUUCUGCCUUAACGCCGGGUUGGGCCUGGAGUCGGGGCCGCCGCCGGAGCCCAUGAAAUUGAUGGACUGAGACUUCGCGCCCCGAGACGACGGCGCGCGGCCCAUCUGGAAUUCCAGUCUGAGGGCCCCGCAGCAGCACUCCUGACCCCGGAUUCAACUUUGGGGAAGAA